Molecule: transfer RNA, 64 nt
Filed under: Neilupotamon xinganense
Lineage: Eukaryota; Metazoa; Arthropoda; Malacostraca; Decapoda; Potamidae
Description: tRNA-Ser
Rfam family: tRNA
About the family: Transfer RNA (tRNA) molecules are approximately 80 nucleotides in length.
Source: RNAcentral
GACUAUUUAGUUUAAUUAAAACAAAUGUUUUGAAAACAUUAAAAAAGAGAAUUCUUAAUAGCCA